RNAcentral lists this ribosomal RNA (508 nucleotides) under uncultured bacterium. Its description in RNAcentral is "partial 16S ribosomal RNA". It matches the Rfam family "Bacterial small subunit ribosomal RNA", at positions 37 to 537 of the family's 1533-position model. The record is from RNAcentral.
GACGAACGCUGGCGGCGUGCUUAACACAUGCAAGUCGAACGGAAAGGCCCUGCUUUUGUGGGGUGCUCGAGUGGCGAACGGGUGAGUAACACGUGAGUAACCUGCCCUUGACUUUGGGAUAACUUCAGGAAACUGGGGCUAAUACCGGAUAGGAGCUCCUGCUGCAUGGUGGGGGUUGGAAAGUUUCGGCGGUUGGGGAUGGACUCGCGGCUUAUCAGCUUGUUGGUGGGGUAGUGGCUUACCAAGGCUUUGACGGGUAGCCGGCCUGAGAGGGUGACCGGCGAGCUGCGGACGCACAUACGGCGCGACGUGCUGCGGGGUGCAGGAGUGGGGAAUGACGAAGGAGGGGCGACAGCCUAGUGCGGCGGCGCCGCAGGGGGGUUGACGGCCUGCGGGUUAUACGCCGUAUCCGACGGAGACGGAGGGGAGGUGGCGAUAGUAGGUAAAGACGCACCGGCGAACUACGUGCCGGCAGCCGCUUUAAAAAGCGACGACCCCUCAUCUGACU